GACGAACGCUGGCGGCGUGCUUAACACAUGCAAGUCGAACGGAAAGGCCCUGCUUUUGUGGGGUGCUCGAGUGGCGAACGGGUGAGUAACACGUGAGUAACCUGGCCUUGACUUUGGGAUAACUUCAGGAAACUGGGGCUAAUACCGGAUAGGAGCUCCUGCUGCCUGGUGGGGGUUGGAAAGUUUCGGCGGGUGGGGAUGGGCUCGCGGCUUAUCAGCUUGUUGGUGGGGUAGUGGCUUACCAAGGCUUUGACGGGUAGCCGGCCUGAGAGGGUGACCGGCCACAUUGGGACUGAGAUACGGCCCAGACUCCUACGGGAGGCAGCAGUGGGGAAUAUUGCACAAUGGGCGGAAGCCUGAUGCAGCAACGCCGCGUGCGGGAUGACGGCCUUCGGGUUGUAAACCGCUUUCGCCUGUGACGAAGCGUGAGUGACGGUAAUGGGUAAAGAAGCACCGGCUAACUACGUG
This 468-nucleotide ribosomal RNA is filed under the name uncultured bacterium. Its description in RNAcentral is "partial 16S ribosomal RNA". It matches the Rfam family "Bacterial small subunit ribosomal RNA", at positions 28 to 507 of the family's 1533-position model. The record is from RNAcentral.